GCGGGAGUAGCUCAGGUGGUAGAGCAUCAGCUUCCCAAGCUGAGGGUCGCGGGUUCGAGUCCCGUCUCCCGCU
RNAcentral lists this transfer RNA (73 nucleotides) under Gemmatimonadota bacterium. RNAcentral describes it as "Gemmatimonadetes bacterium tRNA-Gly". It matches the Rfam family "tRNA". Rfam says of the family: Transfer RNA (tRNA) molecules are approximately 80 nucleotides in length. Their secondary structure includes four short double-helical elements and three loops (D, anti-codon, and T loops). Lineage: Bacteria; Pseudomonadati; Gemmatimonadota. The record is from RNAcentral. RNAcentral also lists the same sequence under 1 other name.